UCACCUAACUCCCUCGCGACAAGAGCUAAGCGCUUUGCAAACUUAUACAUAACUAUAUCAAAUAUAGAACUAGAGCAAACUAAGAACAUAAUAAUUAGAGACAUAAUGCAAUUAGAACAAUAGAAUUAGAGAAAGAUAUGAAUAAUACCAAUCUUUAUUACCGAAGAUCCGAAUCCAGAGCGUAGUGCUCUACUUCUCUAAUUGCUAUCUAAUCAACCUCUAAACUUGAAGGAUUAGGGAGUAGCUAAUUCUAAUUCACUGUGGGAGAGAAGCUCUAAACCCUAACUUUGAUGGCUACCUCUGAAUAAUGAUUUCUCCUCUCUCCUCCAGGGGCCAGGGUGUCUGGUUUUAUAGUCCCCUCAAGUGAACGUGAGCCAUUGGAUCAAACCGACAUAGAUUGUAUGGUUUAGAUUGAUCCUUUAGGUCGGUGGAGUCUUGCCCCGAAGCAGAGUCCUGUUUGGCCUCCAACCCUGGGCGGGCGCCCAAGGGGGGUGGGCGGGCGCCCAGCCCCCGAGCCCGAAUCGUGUCCCGUUCAUUCCCGUGGCUUCUGGAUCCUUCU
RNAcentral lists this long non-coding RNA (559 nucleotides) under Sorghum bicolor (sorghum). RNAcentral describes it as "long non-coding RNA (SBIC_LNC012239)". The record is from RNAcentral. Lineage: Eukaryota; Viridiplantae; Streptophyta; Magnoliopsida; Poales; Poaceae.